RNAcentral lists this ribosomal RNA (476 nucleotides) under uncultured bacterium. RNAcentral's name for it is "bacterial SSU rRNA". It matches the Rfam family "Bacterial small subunit ribosomal RNA", at positions 32 to 507 of the family's 1533-position model. The record is from RNAcentral.
ACGACGCUGGCGGCGUGCUUAAUACAUGCAAGUCAACUCGACUUUAGAUAGCAAUAUCGAAAGUAGGGUGGCGCACGGGUGCGUAACGCGUAGGUAAUCUGCCCUGAGGUCUGACAUAACCCGUCGAAAGGCGGGCUAACAUCAGAUGAUAUAUAAUCACGACAUCGUGGAAAUAUCAAAUCUUCGGAGCCUUGGGAUGAGCCUGCGUCUGAUUAGGUAGUUGGCGGAGUAAUAGCCCACCAAGCCUACGAUCAGUAGCUGGUCUGAGAGGAUGAUCAGCCACACUGGAACUGAGACACGGUCCAGACUCCUACGGGAGGCAGCAGUAAGGAAUAUUGCUCAAUGGGGGAAACCCUGAAGCAGCAACGCCGCGUGAAGGAUGAAAUACUUUGUAUGUAAACUUCUGUAAGAUGGGAAAAAUAUUCUCCUCGGGAGAAUUGAUUGUACCAUCAGAGUAAGCCCCGGCUAACUACGUG